UACGGAGGGUGCAAGCGUUGUCCGGAUUUAUUGGGUUUAAAGGGUGCGUAGGCGGCUCUUUAAGUCAGUGGUGAAAUACUGCAGCUCAACUGUAGCAUUGCCAUUGAUACUGAAGAGCUUGAGUACAGAUGAGGUAGGCGGAAUUUAUGGUGUAGCGGUGAAAUGCAUAGAUACCAUAAAGAACACCGAUUGCGAAGGCAGCUUACUAAGCUGUAACUGACGCUGAGGCACGAAAGCGUGGGGGGCGAACAGG
Molecule: ribosomal RNA, 253 nt
Filed under: uncultured bacterium
Lineage: Bacteria
Description: partial 16S ribosomal RNA
Rfam family: Bacterial small subunit ribosomal RNA
Source: RNAcentral